ACGGAGGGUGCGAGCGUUUAUCGGAAUUACUGGGCGUAAAGCGCGCGUAGGCGGCUUGUUAAGUCGGAUGUGAAAUCCCCGGGCUCAACCUGGGAAUUGCAUCCGAUACUGGCGAGCUGGAGUGCGAUAGAGGGGGGUAGAAUUCCUAGUGUAGCGGUGAAAUGCGUAGAUAUUAGGAGGAAUACCGGUGGCGAAGGCGGCCCCCUGGAUCGACACUGACGCUGAGGUGCGAAAGCGUGGGUAGCAAACAGGA
This 253-nucleotide ribosomal RNA is filed under the name uncultured prokaryote. RNAcentral's name for it is "partial 16S ribosomal RNA". It matches the Rfam family "Bacterial small subunit ribosomal RNA", at positions 525 to 777 of the family's 1533-position model. The record is from RNAcentral.